This 516-nucleotide ribosomal RNA is filed under the name Pseudomonas sp. Its description in RNAcentral is "bacterial SSU rRNA". It matches the Rfam family "Bacterial small subunit ribosomal RNA", at positions 61 to 572 of the family's 1533-position model. Lineage: Bacteria; Pseudomonadati; Pseudomonadota; Gammaproteobacteria; Pseudomonadales; Pseudomonadaceae. The record is from RNAcentral.
GUCGAGCGGUAGAGAGGUGCUUGCACCUCUUGAGAGCGGCGGACGGGUGAGUAAUGCCUAGGAAUCUGCCUGGUAGUGGGGGAUAACGCUCGGAAACGGACGCUAAUACCGCAUACGUCCUACGGGAGAAAGCAGGGGACCUUCGGGCCUUGCGCUAUCAGAUGAGCCUAGGUCGGAUUAGCUAGUUGGUGGGGUAAUGGCUCACCAAGGCGACGAUCCGUAACUGGUCUGAGAGGAUGAUCAGUCACACUGGAACUGAGACACGGUCCAGACUCCUACGGGAGGCAGCAGUGGGGAAUAUUGGACAAUGGGCGAAAGCCUGAUCCAGCCAUGCCGCGUGUGUGAAGAAGGUCUUCGGAUUGUAAAGCACUUUAAGUUGGGAGGAAGGGCAGUUACUUAAUACGUGACUGUCUUGACGUUACCGACAGAAUAAGCACCGGCUAACUCUGUGCCAGCAGCCGCGGUAAUACAGAGGGUGCAAGCGUUAAUCGGAAUUACUGGGCGUAAAGCGCGCGU